CUGGAGGUAUCAGAAGUGCGAAUGCUGACAUAAGUAACGAUAAAGCGGGUGAAAAGCCCGCUCGCCGGAAGACCAAGGGUUCCUGUCCAACGUUAAUCGGGGCAGGGUGAGUCGACCCCUAAGGCGAGGCCGAAAGGCGUAGUCGAUGGGAAACAGGUUAAUAUUCCUGUACUUGGUGUUACUGCGAAGGGGGGACGGAGAAGGCUAUGUUGGCCGGGCGACGGUUGUCCCGGUUUAAGCGUGUAGGCUGGUUUUCCAGGCAAAUCCGGAAAAUCAAGGCUGAGGCGUGAUGACGAGGCACUACGGUGCUGAAGCAACAAAUGCCCUGCUUCCAGGAAAAGCCUCUAAGCAUCAGGUAACAUCAAAUCGUACCCCAAACCGACACAGGUGGUCAGGUAGAGAAUACCAAGGCGCUUGAGAGAACUCGGGUGAAGGAACUAGGCAAAAUGGUGCCGUAACUUCGGGAGAAGGCACGCUGAUAUGUAGGUGAAGUCCCUCGCGGAUGGAGCUGAAAUCAGUCGAAGAUACCAGCUGGC
This 536-nucleotide ribosomal RNA is filed under the name Escherichia coli. RNAcentral describes it as "partial 23S ribosomal RNA". It matches the Rfam family "Bacterial large subunit ribosomal RNA", at positions 1273 to 1794 of the family's 2925-position model. Lineage: Bacteria; Pseudomonadati; Pseudomonadota; Gammaproteobacteria; Enterobacterales; Enterobacteriaceae. The record is from RNAcentral.